This 305-nucleotide ribosomal RNA is filed under the name uncultured bacterium. RNAcentral's name for it is "bacterial SSU rRNA". It matches the Rfam family "Bacterial small subunit ribosomal RNA", at positions 335 to 639 of the family's 1533-position model. The record is from RNAcentral.
UCCCUACGGGGCGCAGCAGUGAGGAAUAUUGGUCAAUGGCCGAGAGGCUGAACCAGCCAAGUCGCGUGAGGGAAGACGGCCCUACGGGUUGUAAACCUCUUUUGUCGGGGAGCAAAGAGAGUCACGUGUGACUCAUUGAGAGUACCCGAAGAAAAAGCAUCGGCUAACUCCGUGCCAGCAGCCGCGGUAAUACGGAGGAUGCGAGCGUUAUCCGGAUUUAUUGGGUUUAAAGGGUGCGCAGGCGGAGGUGCAAGUCAGCGGUCAAAUUGCGGGGCUCAACCCCGUACCGCCGUUGAAACUGCAUC